AUGCUACUGCUUGCUUGCUUGUGCUCUUGUUUGAUUUGCAUUUCAACUCCAUUUCUGCCAACAAAUGCAGCCCCAGGUUCUCCUUAGAAUAACUUCUUCCCGGCCAGGCACGGAGUCAAAUUACAAACUGAAUUGGGGAAGGAGGCCAAACGAAGAUCCACCUUGUCUUGCUCCUUAUGUAGGAGUUUACUAGGGCUGCACCUGGGAUUGGCUUUCUCUGCCAGGCCUUUUCUAUUAUCUAAUUCAGCUGUAAGGGAAAAAUAGUGGAUAUAGAUAUUUCAUUCUGAAGGCCAUUCAUGUUAAAAAAUGAUACUCUCUUGGACAAAGGAGACAAUGAUGGAGUGAAAUGCUCUUAUGUGAAAGCCUCUGUCACUCACCAGAAGAAGUUCACCAUCAGUUGAGAGCCCAUGUUAUGUCUCUGGGGAGGAAAGGUAGGUAAAGGAUACAGGAUUGGAAGGUAAGGAACUAAGGUCCUAGCUUUUACUCCCCUAAUGACUUUGUGAUGCUGCACACAUUUCCGAUCUUUUUCUCUCUCUGUGGUUUUUUAAAUUUUCUUGAUAACAUUAGAAUGUUUAGGCUCUUGCCAUAAGUAAAAAUGUUUUCUAUGGAUGUGUGUAUUUGCAUAUUUAUCACAGUCAAAAUAAUCAGUCUCCAAAAAUGCAAAAGAUUGGGUAGGAUUAUGUAACACAUUCUUAAAAUAUUAAAACCUGCACACAUUAAAGCAUCAAGUUAAAUAGUUGUUAACCUGUCUCACUAAUAAUCGCCUGCUUAGAUCCAGUCUGUGAGAGGAAAAGGAAGCAAUAAAUUUGACCUUCACUUACCGCAUGUUUUAAUUGCACAGUACUCCCAGCGGGUGUGAGGGUCAAGAGUAUAGCACCAUGGCCUCGGCUGGCCAUCGGGAUUGCGGCAAUAAUUAUCAUCAAAGCCCUUGUCGGGAUAUCUGCAAACCACACCAAGAAAAGUGUCACGUAAAUCUGCCUGGAAACACCACCCACCCCUCAGCUCACAAAAUAACUUUCCACUUAGGUUGUCUACACCUAGCUGGGGAAAGAGGACGUUUUCUAUGUUUUGCCUUACGAGGACUGCUGAUCACUGACUAUUGAAUCUACUAAUUUAUAUAUCCCACUAAGGACAGAGUAUCAUCCCCUGGCUAAUAAGUUAGGUCUAUGUGGUACCUUUCCACUAGCUGAGGUUCCAAAUCGAGUCUCUUUCUCUUAGAACCCACUUAAGGGCAGAUUACAAAAACAUGACUUCAUGUAGAAUGCUCAUUAAGAAAACAGGUCCUCUUCUAGGGAAGGCUUAAAGUUCAAACUGAAAGUUCAGUUUCAAUAGCGCUGUUACUAAUGAUAACUCAGUUUUGGAAAUAGAGCCCUUCGAGGUCAUGCCCUCACCUUCACCAGAUCAUGAGACAAACUUCAUCACACUACUUUCUCCACACCCCACCUCCCUUCAAAUGAACAGAGUCCUGAAUUGGUGACUUGAUUUUAAUUGCUACCAUAUCCCUUCUGCUCUCACUUAAACGACAAGACAAGCAUUUAUUUGGAAAAUAAGCUGGAGUUUUAAUUUCAUUAAAAAUAACACCAAACAAAAAAGAAUAGAGAAAAAGAACAAAGAAAAAACACCUAACAGCAAUUUCCAAAGAAAGGUGGGGGACGGAAUUUCCUGUGUAAUUAUUUGUAUUUUUAUUCUUUAUAAUCAAAAUAAAUGAACUUCUUCCUUUUUUUUCCACCUUAAAAGUUUCAUGUAAAAUACAUGGGCAAAAGUAGACAUGAUUUUUUUUUUUUUUUUGGCGGAGAUGGGUAAUAAUUUAAGCUCAAAACCUAUUCCUGGGGAUAAAAGAUAGAUUAGUUGCCUGACUUCUCCAAAUUGGCUUUUUAUAUGGGCAAUUUCAAAACACACCAGGACAAAGCAACCUGAAUGGUUUGCUCUACUUUUUACUCCCUAUGACCACUACUUAUGUCAUGCUGUUAUGUGUGUGGCCUGCAGUACCUGAGUCUCUGAAGAUGCUGCUCCAGAAGGAGAUUUGCCUGCAAUUAGUAACAAUACCUCUAAUCACAGCUAAGACUUGUCAAAGUGGUCAUUACUGAAUUGGUCCUGUGGUUUGCUUUGGUUUUGUUUUGUUUCUGCUCUGAGAGAGAAAGAAGCUUCUUUUUGUGCUUCCACUCUAUACCCUGCUGAUGAUUUUGUGUUCAGUACCAUGCUGAUUUUAGAAACUCUGACCAGUUGGCUAUGUAGUCAGUGUUCUCAUGUACCUCAUCAUAAAUCUUUUUGCCCUUAGACUAUUUCCUCCAAAUAUAAUGGCCAGAAAUUCUGUCAGAAGAACUCCUGAACAUUCUGGGAGUUCUAAAUGUUAUGUUCAUGUCCUAUCGGGAAAACAUAAUAUAAAGAGAAUUUCCACAGCAGUGUGUCAUAGAGUGAAUAAUAGUUUGUAAAAGAAUCACUGAAAGCAUGAUUCAUUAAUAUUUUACCUUUCAGGCAAGAAUUUGUGCCGGUGUGGUGUCUGAUGAUCCCAGCGCUGACAAAUCUUGCCUGAUUCUGUAUGAUCCAUGAGACCUCGAUAACUCUCCCCAUUGCAGGUCAUGCAUUCAACUAAUAAAAUUAAAGUAUGGCAUGUUAAUUGUUUCUGACAGCAAAAUCAAAAACACCACUGUUGCAUUUAAAGAACAGCACCUGUUUAGUAAACAGAUUUUUAAAAAAUCCUACACAUCAUUCUAACUUUUUAUUAGGGCCUAAUGUCUAUAAAUAGUGACAUAAACUACUCCCUAUAGAACACAUCAUACAGUUUAAGUGGGAUUUUUGUACUUAGUGUCACACAGAUUUACUAUAGGGCCACGACGCUGUCUAUCUAUUUUUUCAAUAACUGUCUCAAAGGUAUCUAGAAAAUGGAAAUAAAAGACAGAUCCUUGGAAAUUUUUCCCGUGUUGGUCUAAAAUGCAAAGAUCUCAGUAUCUAUUUGUCAGCACAAUAGUGUUUCUCUCUCAAUUUGCCCUCCAAAUACAUACACAGGAAAUACAAAGUUUAAUUGAGUUUGUGUCAUACUUUUAUGGUUAAUGACAUAAUCAAGACCACAUAGAUUUAAGAGACUGGCUUCAUAUAGAAAUCUGGUGCAAUUCAAAGAAUACGGAUAUUUUUAAAAAAUAAAUCACAGCUCCUUUCUGUUAGCGAACAUCCAUGUUGAAUAAGCUGGGCAGGUUUACAUUCCUGUCUGGCUUAGGAUAGAAGAUGACCUGCUAUUGAACUCCAUGUUCCCACUCUUUUUAAAAUGUAUAAGCUAAUGUAAUUAGGUAGGCUCUUACUGAUGAUUUUGUGAGGUUAAUUCAUUGUUCUCUUCUGGCUGGCCUCUUAUGUCACACAGAAAACUGAAUCACAUCAAUUGCUGAAAGUGAGACUUCUCAAACAGACAGGUUGAUUUGUAGCACAGAAAGCAUCCUGUGGAAUAAAUCAUUGCUUGGCUUUCCUAUGAAUCAGGCAAACUUCCUUAAACACAUCAUUUGUAUCUUGCAAUUACUGAUCAUCUAACUUUAGCUGAAGUGGGAAGAGGCAUCAAUGUUUAGUUUUAUCCAACGGAAUCUAGCCUAAUGAGUAUUUGUAGUAAUUUGGGAUUAUAGUAUUAGAAUCAUCACUUUUGAAUCCUUGAUUCUUAUAAUCUAAUAGGGACAUUAACUAUUAACUUUCUGAAACAUGCAACAACUUGGCUUGAUCCAUCUGCUUUCCUUCAUUUAUAUUAAUACAUUAGCUAAGAGGCCAACUCGGCUUCCCUUCAUUUGAUACUGAGAUUUUCCAGACUACACCCAAUAAGCACCUGAACUGUAAAUGAGUGGAGUCCAUGAGCAUAUCAAUAAAGGUGCUCAGGUUGGCCAGGGUCAUAGCAGUGCUCAACAUAGGUGAUGCAAUGUUACAUUUCAGCUUUCCAUUUGAAUGCUUAACAGGUUCAUUUAGGUAUCUCUCUCUUUUUUUAAAGAACACAAAUUUUGAUACCGUCAAAGAAAAUGAUGCAGCAUUUAUCGUUAUUUGUUCCUUCGUGUUGGAUGAAAUGUACAAUAGAGUACUAGGGUCACACAUAAAAGAUAAGUAUUCAUAUGUACAAUUUCUACUCUUGUAUAGUACUCAGGAAAGAGAUUACAUCUAUUAUGCCUCCUUCAGCAAAUGCAGCUUGUGAUAGUAUAUUCCUUUCUAACGAGGGUGAAUAGAAUUAUUUUCUGGUAAUCACUACAUUGAGCAGUAUUAUAAAAAUUUUUCCUUGACUUACACAUUUUAAUGGUUUUAAGAAAAAAUAGCUACAUGAAUGAAACAGAUGGUUCCAUAAGAUGACCACUUUCCAUUAUGAGUGUGGCAGAUCAAUGCUUGUUCAAAUAUGAAUGUGUGCAAAAACCUCCUUGAGAUCCUGUUAAGAGGCAAGUUCUGAGUCAGUGGGUCUGGGCUGGGGCACUAAUAACAAGCUCCCAGGCAUUGCUGCUGUUGCUGGUACUUGGACCUCACUUUGCUCUGCAACUUUCUAGAUAACAGGAUCUAUUAUAAAAGUUCUGGCCAGGCACGGUGGCUCACGCCUGUAAUCCCAGCACUUUGGGAGGCCAAGAUGGGCGGAUCACGAGGUCAGGAGAUCGAGACCAUCCUGGCUAACACGGUGAAACCCCGUCUCUACUAAAAAUAUAAAAAAAUUAAUCAGGUGUGGUGGUGGGCACCUGUAGUCCCAGCUACUCGGGAGGCUGAUGCAGGAGAAUGGCGUGAACCCGGGAGAUGGAGCUUGCAGUGAGCCGAGAUGGCACCACUGCACUCCAGCCUGGGCGACAGAGCGAGACUCCGUCUCAAAAAAUAAAAAAAAGAAGUUCUAAGUAUUUGGCCGUAAUAGUUUUAUAAGAGAGACUAGAUUUUACUAGGAUCUUGAAUAGAUGAGAGUUGGAUAAAUUAUAAAGGGACAAAAUAACAUAAAAUCAGAAGCAUAAGUAUACUAUGUUGAUAGUAAAGGGAAGAGAGAGUUAUGAUUGCAGUUGUGGGCCUAAAAAUAAAUAAAUAAAAGUUAGCAAGAAUAAUGUUACAUUUUAGAAAGCAAUGAAAGUUAUUGUUGGGGUGGGAAUUAAACAUGCCAUGAUUGAAUUGAGAUACUUAAAUAUAUUACAGUUACAUAUUAUUUGAUUGUUUAUACCAUACUUUUAACAUAAAAGGUAUAGGCCAGGUGCAGUGGCUCAAGCCUGCAAUCCUAGCACUUUGGGAGGCCAAGGCAGGCAGAUUGCCUGAGGUCAGGAGUUUGAGACCACCUUGGGUCUGGUGGUGCGUGCCUGUAGUCCCAGCUACUUGGAAGGCUGAGGCAGGAGAAUUGCUUGAACCCAGGAGGUGGAGGCUGCACUGAGCCGAGAUGGUGCCACUGCACCACUCCAGCCUGGGCGACAGAGCAAGACUCUGUCUAAAAAACAAAAAACAAAAAACAAAAACAAACAAAUAAAUAUGAAAACAUGAAAAGUAUCAUCUGAUUCUUACAGUGAGGAAAACAAGUCUCACAAAAGUUUUAAGAGACUUACCUAAAACACAAAAUGUUAAACCUGAGCCAGGAACACAAAUCUUCUGACCCAUAGUCUUAGUAUUUUUUUUGCAUUAUCCCAAACUGCCUUUUUGUUUUAUAUAUUUUAACUUAUUUCCUACAUAUUCUAACUGGUUAUACUUUAUGAUAUACUGAUAGCAAUAACUUUAGAAAGUUGGUAUCCCUACCCUUUUCAACAUUGUCCUCAUUGCCCUCUGCUUUUUUGUUUACAACAGUUAACUUGCUCUCCUGUUGAAGUCUCAUCUAUUGGAGGAAUUGCAGGGAAAGUGCAUGGGAAUGUAACUAGAUUGGACACCUUAUCCAAAGUCAAUGGCUGAAAAGUUGGCUGUUUUACCACGGAAUCAAGCCAUCAAGUUAGUCAUAAGAAUUAUCUCAAGAAAGCCAAAUUUUUAACUCAUAUUCACUUUUCAAGCUUUGGGAAUUCUCAGAUUCUUCUAAUUUUUCUUAAAGUCAAGCAGUUCAGGUGAAACCAAGUCCAUGUAUUCAAGGAAACAGGUGAACAUAUAAACGAUGUAACAGUUUAUAUGUAGGAGUGCCCUUUGGCUCUGUCUAUUGCUGUCAGUACAUUAUUUACCUGCUCCAGCAAGUUCUCCUCUAAAACAAAACAAAACAAAACAAAACAAAACAAGCUAACUACUGCCCUAGAUAGAUCACAAAAACUCACAGAGUAAUGGUUUCUGUUCAUCGGUUCAAUAUUUGUUCUAAGUACAGUUCUGGACUGAAUAAUAGUAGAAUACUACAAAAACUGUAUAUGAAUUAGAAAACACAGAGGAUUAAUUUAACAGCUUUCUCAUCAUACUAACCAACCAAACUUUAAAAAUGUGUUUCAUUUUUCUCCGUCAUAAAACAGGAGUGAUAUGAGUAUACAGACUAAAAGAGUUAUUUUGAAAGUAUCUGAAUCUAUUUUUAAUUAGUGUUUGUUUUAUUCCAUUAAAGACAGUCUCAGAAAAAUCCAUACAGGUGAUUACUUCAACAAAACUGAAUGUUUAAAAUAUAAAUAGUCUCACAAAUUAACAUAUAUAAAUAAAAGUUUGUCAAAUAAAUUAUGAGUUGCCAUUUAAUCUUUGUAACUUGCCAUUUAAUCUUUGUUUUUAAAAGUCUUCACACAGAGUAUCGAAUUAUACACAUAAACUUAUGUCAGUAUUAUGUGGGAUUUUAAAUGUAUUGUAUUUUUUAAAAUAAUGAUUAUGGCUUAAUUAAAAUAUAUUUACUUGAUCAUUUGACAAUCAUUAGAAAUGACAUCUGUUCCAAUGACCAAUGAUUGUUUUAUUUUAAAUUUCAAGCAAACGCUAAAGCAAGAAAAUGGAUUUUGCAUACCUCAACUUUCUAAAACUUUUGAAUCAAGCACUAAUUAUUUUCUCUGUAUAACUCUAUAAGGUUCUUUCUUAAAACUGUCCAAUAAAAGUCUACAUAUUAUGUACGACAUGAUGUUUUGAAGCAUAUAUACAUUGUCAGUGGACUAAAUCAAACUAGUUAACAUAUGCAUUACUUCACAUAGCAAUUUUGUGGUAAGAACAUUUAACAUCUAGUCUCUUAGCAUUUUUUAAAUGUACAAUAUAAUAUUAUUAUCUAUAGUCACCAUUCACACAAUAGAUCUAUUGAACUUAUUCCUCUUAUCUAACUGGAAGGUGAUAAAUGUGAUAGACGAAUAUUUGUUUUCUUUUGGAAUAUUGACUAUAUUUUCAAGUUUUAAAUUAUAAGAAAAUAAUAUUAAUCAUUGACUAUCAGAUACAAUUCUUUUAAUUUUAAACAAAUUUCAGGUGAUUAUAUAGCCAAGUUUUAAGCAUAAUUACAAAAAUUUCAAAAAAUAUAUACUGUUCUAUAUGUCUUUUUCAUUUGAACAGUCUAAAGUUUGAUUAUGGGUGUUUUUCUUGUUUAAUUUUAAAUAUGCAAAAUGACUUUAUAGUUGCUACCUUAGCCAUAAUAAAAUAACCUUUAUAACUUACCAUUUAAUUUGUAUCCAUGGAUAGAAAUGGCCCAUCUAUUAUACAACUUAAGCAUUCUGGAUUUUGAGGUUUCCCCCUUAUAUGUAUUUUAGAAGAAAUUUAUAUCAUGUCACAUUAUUUUGUAUAUUUUAUAUUAUUGAUUUUAUAAGUCACUCUUUUUCUCUGCCAAUGUUUUGACAAUGCUUCUUAUUUUGGAUCUUUUUCAUUAAAAUCCUGCUAACACAUUGCUUGUGUUAGCUGGAAUUUAAAAUAUCACAGUUUAACUCAUAGUCUCCAAAAUAUGUUUAACCUACAGGGCAGAUGUUGGUUCCCUUCUCCCACAGGAGAGUUAUUCCACUAUUGCCAGGCCACUAAUUAUUUCCAGAAAGAACAUGUCUGCAACCUUUGGUGCCGCGGUGACCAAUAGCAUCAUGUGCCAUUAAUACCAACGAGCAAUGCCCUUUUCUAAGGGAGGUGUGAUGAUCUCAAAUUAUUAAAGAUACUAGACAGUUACAUUCUAAUGAGAUAAGAAUAACUGAAAAUAGGAUUUAUUCAAGGACUUCUUUUCUAGCACUUUUAAUCUAUGUCGCCUAGCAGUCCAGUCCUAUGUUAAGUAAGUAUAUUUUGAUGAAUGUUUUCCUUAUAAACCCGUAGUGGAAAAAUCAUAUUCUCACAAGAACCAGGCAGGUAACGAAAAUAGUAAGCUGUUUAAAGUUUGGCCAAGGUACCGGCCUUUGAAAACACGUUUUCAGGUCAAACAAAACCCCUUGUCAAUGAUUUUCAACCUCAGAAAACUGUAAUAGGAGAGAUUCCCCUAAAAGUAGGGUUUUUUUUCUUCCAUGUGCAAGUUUAAGACAAAUAUUAAUUCGUUCAGACUUAUUCAUACAAAACAGACUUGUUCAAAACGUGAUCAUAGAAAAGUUUAUUAUUUUUAAAAGAAAAGAAAACAAUGAAGAGGUUAUAGGGAACAGAAUAUGAUAUGGAAUGGAAAGUAAGAAUUUACAAACAGAGAUGGAACUGGCUGUAGCACAUAAAGUCAAGGAUUUCAAAUUCACUAACAACAGAAAACAAAUCCUUCUCUGUGACAAUUAGCUAACAGUAGCCUUUACUUUUUAUGUGAUAAAUAUCAACCUAAUAUUAAAUGAAUAUUUAUGGAGGAAAUAUUUUUAAAAAUAUUUGGUUAAUAACAAACAGGUAAGAUAUCUUAGUAUAAAACUUGGACAGCAUUCCAGUAGUCCCCCUCCCCAAAUACUCCAAAAUCCUAACAAUUUUCUAACAGAGUUUCAUCCAUGUUUCACUUAGAUUUUUGGAAAUUUAGAGUUUCUGACAGAACUGAAAAAUCCGGCUAUUCAGUAGCCAGAUAACUAAGAAAAAUGAAACCACAUACAAUGCUGAAAUGGUUACUCUUCCAUCUUGUCAGCCAUUCAGUUUUCCACUGCAAAAGUAAGGACAAUGCCCUUUUAUGCUGUGAGAAGAGCUGAAAACAUAGACAUGGACUUAAGGUCCAUAGACAUGCCUUCAAGACAGUUUGGUGGUCUCCAUUGCUUUGAUCUCUUCAGAUCCUAUUCUGAAUGGUACUCAGUUCCAGCCUACGUGUCACAUUUGAUUCUAGGCACAUUUUCACCAAAAUGUGCAUGGGGUCAAGCUUCCAGUGAUCCCUUCUUAUAUUGUAUUAUCUUCUGGGUCCAUAUACCCUUGUCACACCACUUCAUGAUAGUUUGGACAGAAUUUCUGUGGAAGCAGGUGCUGGUUGAAUAGAAUUAACAUUGCUAAUGAAAGGCUAAGCUUCAUUCAACUCCUUUCAGGUGCCACACAGUAGUAGAUUUUGAGGUAUGUGAGCUCAAGACAGUAGGUAAGUAAACCCUCUCUUUCACUUUCCCCAGAGGGAUGUCUCAGGCAGUGUUGAAAUUCAAACUGAUAACUCGCUCUGUUAUUUUGCAUUAAUCUGGUGAUAAUCCAACAGUUUUAAAAACAUUGUAUAAAAAUGUUUAAAUAAUUAUUUGUAGUUGCAUUUGCACGAACAACAUAUUUGUUAUGAUUGAUUCGUUGCUGUUAACCUUUAAUGUGAGUUACAGUUCUACACAUAGGGGGAAUAGAAUGGCCCACAUGGCAUUCAGGUUUAUUUACCUUCUGAACACUGAGGAAUGUCACAGACUUCGUAGCGUACCUCUGGAUUGCUUGUGAAACACCAGGGUCCCCCUUCUUCCCCUCGAGGAUUUCGACAGUAGUUUUCCUGUAGGUCUUUACCCCGAUAGCUCGAAGGCAAAAAGCUAGUUUUAAAAUGAUAAUCAUUACAGUAUAAGAGCAUGCAACUUUUUUUUGCCUAUUAAUUUUACUAAUUAGUGGGUAUGUUUUUGCUGAAGGUAGAAAAAUCCUUUAUCUUAUAUUCCUUCAUAUAUUUUACCUUAAAAUUCUGUCAUUUUCAUCUGUCCUUAAAACGUUUGAAUUUUAUUAACAUCCAUUUAGCUGAAUUUCCAUAUUCACCAUCAAGUUAGAAAGAUGAGCCUGUGAAUUUGCUGAGUCAAACAUUCUAGAACUGAAUCGAAGUUGUCUGAAACAUAAUUUCAAAGCUCCACUAAAAGAUAGCAGGUGAUUGAGCAAGGCCACUUAGGACAGAACUGAGAAAUCGCUGCCACUGAUUUUGAAAUCUCACUAUUUCUUGCAUUACUUAUUUGAGAUCAUUACUUGUUUGUUUAUUGCUUUUCUUAUAAAUAGCCCCCUUUUUUCUGCACAAUUGAGAAACAGAUUCAUGAAGUAACAUGAAUAAAGAGCCCAGAAUCCAGUUAAAUCUGGGCUGAAACUUCAGCUCACUUUCUUACUGUGAGACCCCAGUAAGUAAUUUAGCUUCUCUCAGCCUAUUAGCUUACCUGUGCACUGAGUGUAACCAUAACCUUUAACAUCUUACACCUUAUAUGGUUAUUUUGAGAAGCUCCAAGGGAUAAUAGAGUAAUUGACACUUAACAAAUGCUACCUCUUAUUAAGCACACUCCACUUUGUAGUCUGUAUCUACUGUGUCCUAAUAAAGAACAGAAUUGCUUAUUCUCUUCAAUAAUUUUGAUCAUUUUGACUGACUGGAGCUUAGUGAUCCCAGUUUUGGUUUAUAAUAGUAAGCCAUUGAGUGCAGUAACUGCAACACAUUAUCUUCACUUAAAAUUUCUAGUGCCCUACUCUUAGUGUUAUUACCAGCAUAAAGUAUUUUAACACAUUAGAAAAGGCCAAGUCUUUUUUAUACUUUUGUACUGCUUGUGAUAUUGGACUCAACAAUUAGAUAUUGCAUUUGUCUGCCAGACUUUACACAAAAGAUCAUAAUAAAGAAUAUACAUCUACAGGUAAUACCAGUAAACAUUUCUUUGAAAAUCCAGUUACAUUUUUAAUAUUCAGCUUGUGUUUUGUUAACAGGCUUUAUUUCUACUUUUACUGAGACCUUGAGUUCUAAAUGGCACUAAAAUUAGAGUGAAGUCCAAGGAUUUUAGUAUCUUAGUAAAUACCAUUCAAAUGUGUUUCCUACCCAAUGAAACUUCUAAUAAACCAUCAUUUUUCAUGUUGUGACACAAAACAAAUACAGGUAUGCGUCAUGUACCAAGCAAUAUUUUGCAAUGAAAUUCUUUCAUUUUGACAUGAGUGUAUUCUAGAGUUAAGUCUUCAGAAAAUAUAAAUUAUUGGACAAAACAAAUAGUGUAAGAGACUUAUUACUAACUAAACAUUUUCAGGGAACCAGUGAAGUAUUAUCCAUAUUAUGCAACUUCAAUGCAUCUAAGUAGUAAUAGUUAAUAUCCAUACUUAACUAGCAUUCCUCAUAUGGGGAAAUAGAAAUAAGACAGGUUGUCAGACCGUAUGACUGACAAAAAUUAUAAUGCAACUAAAAUUCAGCAUAAUUUCACAAUUCCUAACAGUAAACUUUUUUAAAAAGUCAUUUUUCUUACUUUUAGCUCCAUCAUUCCAGAAUAUUUUAAUGCAUCUUUUGUUUGGGCCAUGGCUUACUCACUUUUCUGAUAGAAUCAAAUGUGACUUUUGCUUUAUAUGUUUUCAAGAAGUCAUGCACUAAUCAAAUUUAUUUAAGCAAAGAAUACUAUAGCUCUCUUUUAUGGAAAAGUUGAUAUGGUAGAGUGGUGAGAAGUUUAUUUGUUAAUCAUAAAACCCAUACGGUUGCCCCAUAUCUAUCACCUAAAUAGUAUACAACCUUAGUCCUUAGACAAUUUAUUUACUCCCUGGGUUUUAAUCUCUUCACUUAGAUGAAUAAUACGAACUAUAAUUUCCCUUUUUCUAUAUCAUUUUAUAUAUUAAGAUUAUUUAAGAAACCUAGUAGUUAUAGCAAAUGUUCAAUACACAAAUACUCAAUAUUUAUAGUUUGAGAGAGGAUUUUUGUCCCCUCUACACAUGCACACCGAAAUACACAAAGUGAUACACCCAUAUACCUUUCCAGUGGAUUUGUAAAGCCAAAAAAAAGCUGUGAGGAAGUAGUGAAUUAAUAAGUCAACAAUUUAUUAGGACAAAUACAGGUAGAAAGGAAGAGAGAAUAAUGUAGAAAUCAAAAGUAGAUAUGGCCAAAACACGAAUAAAAUUCCCCCAUUGGAGUUAAUAAAAUCAAAAUGAAGAGAAAAGAUGGGCUCCUUUCCACAAUUCUGAAUGCAAUUCAUAUCAAAAACCUCUCUAGGACAUGAAGGUUAAAGAGCAGUCUGGGUCAUCUCUUUUCUUCAUUCUGUGGUGUAUUUUAUCUUUUACCUAAAUUAACUGUUUUUUUUUGUUAGUGUCCCAAUGUAUUUCCCCUGCUUUUCUUUAGCACCCCAUAUUUGACCAAGGGAUGAAGCCUAGCCAUGCUCUUUCACUUAUGUGUGUUCAUUCAACAAGUGUUUAUGAGAACCCAUUACACACAAAGCAUGUGCCAGUCAGCAGAUUCUGUAAUAAGCAUUUAUUCAUAUAUACACUAUUUUUGGUUCUCUGUCCUUGCUGUUGGCAAGGCUUUAAGAGAGACAAGUGAGGAAAUGUUUAAAAUUGGGUUACAUCCAAAUAUACUUUGAAAUAUAAACUAGGUCUUCUAGGUGCUAGGCUCCCUUUGUUUUCUUUUAAUAUUCACUGUGUUCCUAGGAAACUUGAUCUAUUCCAUCAUCUGAUUCAUUAAUGAAUGCUGGGUGGCCAAUGAAGGAUACAGAUGUAGAUAUCAGGUCACCUGAUUUUCUAGUUAAGCUUCUACAUUAAUUUCAUCAUCUUUCAUCAUCUUUCCAUUAAGCCACUAGUAAAAUAUUUCAAUUUAGGGGUCAACAAUAAAUCAUUCCUCCAGACAGAAACAUAUUUCUUUUUCUAUUUUCUGUAAAAUUAAUCUUUAGUCAACACUUAAAAGUGUUAAACCAUCAUGCAGAUAUUCCAAUAAGCUGCUAAUUGAUGAAAAUUAUGUGUUUCCCUCAUUGAAUACAAAAAGGGAUUUUAUUAAUAUACUGGAUCCUCUCGGCCAUAAACAUCUAUAUCACAAGGAAGUGUUCAUUGGUAAAAGAGCUGAUUGGACUAGGAAGCCAGUUCCCAGAGAGAUCUAUUUCACAAUUACUCCUCCAGCAGAGAAUCACGAUCAUAGAAAACUCAGGGUGAAAUAAGACCUCUACUAGGUUAAUCUAAUGCAUUCUCCUGGACUAGGGUAGGAUUGAUUUCAAAUGUCAUUCCUUUGUUCAUGAAAAACUUAGAUCCAUCUACUUAAAUAAAAUGUUUUCUUCACUAUGCAGGGAGUAACACCAUGCAAACUCUCAAAAGAGGACAAAACCAAUUAUAAUUUUUGUUUUUGUAAUAUAAGGAAAAUACUGUGUUUUAGAGGCAUUUCUACAUAAUUGUAAGUAACUAAUUUUGAAAAUUGUUGUUUUCUGUUAUUGAAAUGUUGUAGAGAUGAUCAGCUUGGACACUUACUAGCUAGUGUUAAUUAGGCCAAGAUCAUAGGUUUAAUCCCAGUGUGGAGCAACAAACUCUUUUUCUUUCUGUGUUGGUCAAUAACUCAUCUCUGUUUCCUAAUGAAGAAUCAUCUUGCAGAAUUGUGUCCCCAAAAUGGAAUAGAAUAAAAAGUGGAUUCAACAAGGCAGUCAUCACCACCACUGCAAAAACAAAUCACAGCAUGGGUUCUACUGACCGGCCAAAUGUGUCAUGCCCUGAAGUUGUUAAAAGCGCAGGUUAUAGAGUGAUGGUGACUGGGCUUAUAUUCUGGCCAUGUCACUUCCUAGUUGUGCAUGACACUGAAAACUUACUAAGUGUUUUUAUGCUUCAGUUUUGUCAUGUAGGUAAAAUAGAACCAAUAAAACUACCCGCUGUGUGGUUCUCAUUACAAGUAAAUGAGAUUAACAAGGUACAGUGCUCAGCAAGGUACAUGGUAAAGUAAACCCUCCAAUGCAUUACUAAUAAGGGGAGAGCUGUUUUAAACUACUUUGGUUUCUGAUAAAAUUGUGUGUGAAAUAAGCCUUGACUAAUACUCCAGUCAGUAUUAGAUAUCUAUGUUUUUCCUCAGUGAUGAUUAAAACUCUCAGUCUGACGAGCCUAAGUAUAUUGUGUUUACUCAUCUUUAAAUAGUACCCAUCUGUCGUAAUGAACACAUUUAUCCAAUUUGGUCUUUAGGCGAUAGGUGAGAUGGAAAAGCUGGUCAAUCUGAAGCUUGAGCUUUUAGCAGUGGUUCUCAAAUUUGGCUGCACUUUGGAAUCAUGGUGGGAGCUCAAAAAAUACUGGUGCCCUAUUCUCCCCAGAGAUUCUGAUUUAAUUGUUCUGUGUUGUCAUCUUCUAAGUAAGAUUCGUCAAGGGCUUGCAGCAGGUGAUUUUAAUGUGCAACCAAUGUUGAGAUCCACCAAGGUUAAAGAACCCUCAGCCCUCAGUAAGAUUCUCAUCUACCUCUGAUUUUUCACAAUCAACCUCUCCCCCUGCACAGUGCCGUACUUUCUCAAAGACAGGAAGAAGAAUCCUUUUAAACGAAGUUUACGUUAUUAUUUCACAAAUACCGAGAUCUACAAAUUGAGGCAUUAAGGUAAGAUAUUGUUUUGGCUACAUUUUAUUAACAUAUUAAUUAAUCAUUUGCUAAAUAUCAGUCAUGAAUUCAUAUAAACCUUGCCGUAAUACAAUUCAGCAAGUUGGCUAAGUUAUUUUAGGAUUGUAGAAUUAUUCUGAAGGACUAAUAUGAGACUGUUAACAUGUAAAAAAGACAGAGGCUUCAUCUCUUUUCUUCAUACUGUUCUUACCUGUGUUCGUGUGGUAUCAUGGAACUCCAGGGCUGACAUUUGAUGCCACUCUUAGUGAUAGAUACUGUUCCCUUGUAGCUGCGUCCUUUACCAAUGAUGCAGUUUCUAAUGUAGUCUAUUGAAGAAAGUAGAUAAAAUUAUUGCAACUAUGCAAAACAUAUGCAGUAUUUAAGAAAAAAAUUCCGUUCAAACCUGUAAGUAAUUAACUCUUGUAAACUAUUUCAAAUAACAUUGAAAUUUCUUGCCUAAAGCUUCUACUAGUAUUUUCAAAAUAACACAUUUCUGAAUAAUCCAAAACAAACAGAUGAUUGAGAAGUUUUAAUUUUGUGUAUAUAUGCAUAGAUAGCUCCAGAGAGCAGUCGCUGUACUUAACAUAGUCUGUAUACUCAGCUAGCCAAGCAAUUAUGAUUUGCUCAAAUAUAUAGACCAUUUUAAGAAAAUAUUAAAAACAAAAAUUAAAUGAUUUUUAAAACCUAUAUUGAAUUCAAAAAGUUACCUAAGAUAAUUAAUUUGUCCUUCUUAGUAAAAUUGUGUGGAUUUUUGUUUAUAUAUGCAUAUGCAUGAGGUAGCUUGCUUAUUAGUUUCCAUAUUUUUGCAAACAUUUCCACUGCUGAUAGGACAACCAAAUUGUAAUAACCUAUAUAUUCCUACCAAAUAAUAGUACAUGCAGUUGUUAGCAAGCUAGAAGACAGUUUGAAGUAAGAAUGGUGUUAUACUAGAUCAUGAAUUAUGUUCAAGAUUUGUAGUAUUAUUGAGGUGUAUAAAGAUUAACUUACUUCUACCAUAAAUUUAUUUUUAAUUUUAUUUAAACAUUUACCCUAUUAACUUGAAAACAUCUAUAUAUUGUACCAGGUUAUGUAUCUGAAUUUAAUAGGACAUGGUUGUUUAACAUUCUUCAAUUAUUUCAUUUACUUGAUUCUGCUUUUGAACAAAGUAAAUACCUAGUGAACAUAAUAUCAGACCACCAGAAUAGGCAAUCAGCAAAUAAUAUGGUCUCAAUUCCUCCUUUAAAUAUUUUUUUCAAGUAUAUGAUGAAACAUAGUCCCAACUCAUUUCUCCAAAAUCUCCAUAUUUUGUUAUCAUCAGUAAUCAUCACUAUAAUUUAGUUAUCCAACAUUGUUAAAUGCAAAAUACUAUAGCAAACUCAGAAUUUGCUGUAAUAUAAAGUGUUUUAAACUUUAUAAUGAAAGAAAGUAGCACUUUCUAAAAUGAACAUGGAGAAUGCCAGUUCUAGGAGAUGCUCCAAAAAAAUAAAAAUAAAAAUAAACAGAGGGAGGAAGGGAAUCAAGAUUAUGAAAAGUUUUGAAAAUGUUCUCCUUAAAGUACCAUACUAAAAAUAGUCAAGAUACUAGUUUCAACUGUCUUAAUGGAUGAAUUGACUACAUAAAAUAUCUCAUAUAUAGUAGAAAAAUCAGUGAGAAAGACCACUCUGGCAGGAAAUUACAAACAUACAUUUCAUUAUACUUUAUUUCAUUAUGCAAUAUUUAGGGAGAAGUCAGUUACCUUUGUUUUCAUAGAGGUCAAAUUCAUGGCCAAAUUCUUUUUUCACUCCACUUGACAUGCUAUUGAAGGGGAACCAGAGGCAUUGUUUUCUUGCUUUAUCAAAAACAAAAGCCCUGAAAAAAAUAUCAGAAUGAAAAGAAGAAAUACUACUAUUUAUACAGUAUUUAAAGAAUGGGCAUAUGGUUCAUCUUGUCCAUGGGCAUAUGGACAAUAUAGAAACAAAUGCAUAAUUACAUAUACAUAAUAAAAAUAUGAGUAAAAUUUGAACCUACCAUUUUGAUAGCCAAACAAGAAAGAACAAAAUUAAGUUUUUGUAGGAGUAGAUUUAAAUAUCAGAUUGAAUACUCUUUGGAAUAUUCUCAUGUUAUUCCAAAAGGCUUGU
This 16542-nucleotide long non-coding RNA is filed under the name Homo sapiens (human). Its description in RNAcentral is "HSALNT0341799". The record is from RNAcentral. Lineage: Eukaryota; Metazoa; Chordata; Mammalia; Primates; Hominidae.